UACAGAGGGUGCAAGCGUUUAAUCGGAAUUACUGGGCGUAAAGCGUGCGUAGACGGUCAUGUAAGUCGGGUGUGAAAGCCCCGGGCUCAACCUGGGAAUUGCAUUCGAGACUGCAUGGCUAGGGUGCGGAAGAGGGAAGCGGAAUUUCCGGUGUAGCGGUGAAAUGCGUAGAUAUCGGAAGGAACACCAGUGGCGAAAGCGGCUUCCUGGUCCAGCACCGACGUUCAGGCACGAAAGCGUGGGGAGCAAACAGG
Molecule: ribosomal RNA, 254 nt
Filed under: uncultured bacterium
Lineage: Bacteria
Description: partial 16S ribosomal RNA
Rfam family: Bacterial small subunit ribosomal RNA
Source: RNAcentral